RNAcentral lists this ribosomal RNA (496 nucleotides) under uncultured bacterium. RNAcentral describes it as "bacterial SSU rRNA". It matches the Rfam family "Bacterial small subunit ribosomal RNA", at positions 903 to 1397 of the family's 1533-position model. The record is from RNAcentral.
AAAGGAAUUGACGGGGGCCCGCACAAGCAGUGGAGCAUGUGGUUUAAUUCGAAGCAACGCGAAGAACCUUACCGGGGAUUGACAUCAUGUCGAACUUGGUAGAAAUACCGAGGUGCCUACGGGAGCGACAAGACAGGUGGUGCAUGGUUGUCGUCAGCUCGUGUCGUGAGAUGUUGGGUUAAGUCCCGCAACGAGCGCAACCCCUAUGCUUAGUUGCUAGCACGUCAAGGUGAGCACUCUAAGCAGACUGCCACAGAGAAUGUGGAGGAAGGUGGGGACGACGUCAAAUCCUCAUGCCCUUCAUACCCCGGGCUACACACGUGCUACAAUGGCCUGUACAGCGGGAAGCGAAGGAGCGAUCUGGAGCGAAUCUCUGAAAGCAGGUCUCAGUUCGGAUUGCAGGCUGCAACUCGCCUGCAUGAAGUCGGAAUUGCUAGUAAUCACGGAUCAUCACGCCGUGGUGAAUGCGUUCCCGGGCCUUGUACACACCGCCCGU